This 377-nucleotide unclassified non-coding RNA is filed under the name uncultured Bryobacterales bacterium. RNAcentral's name for it is "contains 16S-23S intergenic spacer region". Lineage: Bacteria; Pseudomonadati; Acidobacteriota; Terriglobia; Bryobacterales. The record is from RNAcentral.
UCCAACUUAUCGCUGGCGGUCUCCUGCGAGUUCCGGCUUGCGCCAUGGCAACACAGGACGAGGGUUGCGCUCGUUGCGGGACUUAACCCAACAUCUCACGACACGAGCUGACGACAGCCAUGCAGCACCUCGACCGGACUCCCUUGCGGGAUAGCGCUGUUUCCAACGCCGUUAACCGGCCGUUCGAGCCCAGGUAAGGUUCUUCGCGUUGCGUCGAAUUGAACCACAUGCUCCACCGCUUGUGCGGGCCCCCGUCAAUUCCUUUGAGUUUCAGCCUUGCGACUGUACUCCCCAGGCGGCAUAUUUAACGCGUUAGCUCCGGCACGGAUCAACUGAAUGACCCACACCAAAUAUGCAUCGUUUAGGGCGUGGACUAC